Molecule: long non-coding RNA, 637 nt
Organism: Bufo bufo (common toad)
Lineage: Eukaryota; Metazoa; Chordata; Amphibia; Anura; Bufonidae
Exons: 3
Source: RefSeq, a predicted model, not a curated record
CCUGGUGGACUCUGCUGUAAGUCUUUAUACACUCCACACUCCCCCUGUGGUAGGAGGUGGUAUUGUCAGCCACAUGUGUGCAGUUAGAAGCCCAUGGAUUCUGUGUUCUCUCUUUUAUGAUUUUAUUAUAGUGUUACCAUUGUGCUGGUGUGUUGGAGUAUUGUGUGUGUGUGUUGGAGUAUUGUGUGUGUGUGUGUGUGUGUGUUGGAGUAUUGUGUGUGUGUGUGUGUUGGAGUAUUGUGUGUGUUUGUUGGAGUAUUGUGUGUACAGUUGUUUUCACAGGAUGUUACUGUGUGCUGAUGGAUACACAUAUCGCUAUAACCUCUUCGGUGAUGGAUGCCCAUGGUAUAUUACACUGCAGUGCAGGAGUCCAUGGUAUAUUACACUGCAGUGCAGGAGUCCAUGGUAUAUUACACUGCAGUGCAGGAGUCCGGUCUCUCCCUGCCCCAUAGUAUAUUACACUGCAGUGCAGGAGUCCAUGUCCAUGGUAUAUUACACUGCAGUGCAGGAGUCCAGUCUCCCUGCCCCAUGGUAUAUUACACUGCAGUGCAGGAGUCCAUGUCCAUGGUAUAUUACACUGCAGUGCAGGAGUCCGGUCUCCCUGCCCCAUGGUAUAUUACACUGCAGUGCAGGAGUC